CAGCCGCCACGGGAAUACAGAGGGUGCAAGCGUUAAUCGGAAUUACUGGGCGUAAAGCGCGCGUAGGUGGUUAGUUAAGUUGGAUGUGAAAUCCCCGGGCUCAACCUGGGAACUGCAUUCAAAACUGACUGACUAGAGUAUGGUAGAGGGUGGUGGAAUUUCCUGUGUAGCGGUGAAAUGCGUAGAUAUAGGAAGGAACACCAGUGGCGAAGGCGACCACCUGGACUGAUACUGACACUGAGGUGCGAAAGCGUGGGGAGCAAACAGGAUUAGAUACCCCCGUAGUCCCUGUCUCUUAUAC
RNAcentral lists this ribosomal RNA (301 nucleotides) under uncultured bacterium. RNAcentral's name for it is "partial 16S ribosomal RNA". It matches the Rfam family "Bacterial small subunit ribosomal RNA", at positions 509 to 807 of the family's 1533-position model. The record is from RNAcentral.